Molecule: ribosomal RNA, 372 nt
Filed under: uncultured organism
Description: bacterial SSU rRNA
Rfam family: Bacterial small subunit ribosomal RNA
Source: RNAcentral
CGUAGGGAGCAAGCGUUGUUCGGAUUUACUGGGCGUAAAGGGCGCGUAGGCGGCGCGGUAAGUCACUUGUGAAAUCUCUGAGCUUAACUCAGAACGGCCAAGUGAUACUGCAGUGCUAGAGUGCAGAGAGGGCAAUCGGAAUUCUUGGUGUAGCGGUGAAAUGCGUAGAUAUCAAGAGGAACACCUGAGGCGAAGGCGGGUUGCUAGGCUGACACUGACGCUGAGGCGCGAAAGCCAGGGGAGCAAACGGGAUUAGAUACCCCGGUAGUCCUGGCCCUAAACGAUGAAUACUUGGUGUCUGGAGUUCUAAUACUCCGGGUGCCGCCGCUAACGUUUUUAGUAUUCCGCCUGGGGAGUACGCUCGCAAGAGUG